CCCGCACGGGCACGGGGGGGAGCAGGUUCGCGUCAUGUAGGUACGCGUGAGUGCACUGAGCCCGCUCCUCUGUCGUCUUCGGUUAGUACAAAGAGAGCCACCGGUACACGUAAUGCCUGAAAGGCACCUGAGUCCCCACGGGGCUGACAAGCCUGUGCGCUAAGUUUGCUGUUCUAAAUCUUGCUAUUACAAAGAUUUCAGCAGUAGUGAAUAAGCCUGACAAGACCAUUUCGCAAUCUCCUUCUCAGGCAGAGGCGGAUGGGAAAGGGAACAUGUGCAUUCUGCACGUGGGCAUCCUUGGACCGACAUCAGCCAAAGCCCCGUCCUGAGAGACCAGGGCAUGGUUCCCCACCUCGGUGCUUUGCCUCAGCCAAACGCCUGACUGCUCGGUCAGGCAGGUGGAGACACCAAAAGGAUGCGAAAAGCUGCCCUGAGCUCCCAGGGAGGUUCGUAAACUUUGGGUUUUUAUUUUUAUUUAUUUAUUUAUUUAUUUAUUUUGAGCUUGCCAGAGAAUCACAUCAGCCUGUCUUCUGCCUGGCUCUCCUAGCCACCGUCUUGCACUGGUAGUGCACGGGGAGAUGCACUAGAGCUGAUUUCAGACACACUGGGGUAACCGGAGGGAUGAUUCAUCAAGAUGGGAAAUAGUGUUAGUGUUGGGUGUGCGUUGAUGUGGCUGAUGGGAGCAGUGUAAAAGUGACAGGUGCAAAAGAAUAAGGGAUGGCAAUGAAGCAAUUAGCCACAUUUUGCGAAGGAAAAGGGCUGAGGAUGACUCCCAAGUGUCAGAUUCAGGUGAUGAGAGCAGAGAAUGCUUAACAGCAAAGAGAAGAAAAGCAAUGAGACCUAUCUCAGAUUACAAAAAUGGAGAGACGUGGGCACUGUUUAAAGGCUACCUCAUGCAGCACGCUGAAGUUUGAAAGCAGCGAGGUAGACUCACUUUUCCUCAGGUGGCUGUAAUCACAGGAUGAUGGACCUUAAUGAUGGAGAACACUUGUGACCUGGCCAGUGAAGGCAUUUUCCCUCUGCAGGAGACUGAACAGAAGAAGGAACCUACAGAAGCCGCUGGAGUCCCCUUUCAGCACUUUUGGAGUACAAUCUUUGCCAAUAGGGACAAACUUGUUGUUGCCUGUGGCUGGAACUGGUGACAAGAAGUCUGCAUACCAGUGCACAUAGAGUGAGGCACACCAGUUGAACUGAAAGGAGAUCAAGCUCAGAUACCCCCUGACAUCCUCUUGCAUGGCUGAAAUGAGGUGAUAUGAAGAAGAAGCACUGACGGUCUUGGCCCCUCAGCUCAGGUUUAUGAGCCUCUGGGGCAGCUUGACAGAGACAGGCACUGGCACUGCAAGGAGAAAGUCAUAUUUUCCAGGUGAGAAGAGACUACCAUCUUGUUUACUUCCAUGACUUACUGAAUGGAUAAAAGAAAACAUGCUAGCCUCUCCCUUCUGAGAAAAAAUGUAUGCCCAUUUUGUCUACCCUCACCACAAUCUUGGGGAAAUAGAUUCAUAAUUUCCCUUUUGCCUUGUGCACUGGUGUGGGAAGGCAGCCAGAAGCACAGAUCCAGGCUCUGGCAAAUGCAUGCAUUCUCAUAUGGACAAUGAACUCUUUUCAUAUAGAUUUAUUUAACCAUUUCCCAUGCCACUUAGAUUGGCCCAUGGCUAUACCUUAUCACAGCAUCCAUAACAACAUGUAACUAGCUCCUUCAAUUACUAGCUUGGGACUUACUAUCCUUCUUCCCAAUGGCCUGAAAUUCACACUCCCAUCCUCAAUGUUCCCACUUCUCCCAACAUCCACAAGGACCCACACUGUGGUUUUAAGUCUGAAUUAAGUCUCUUGGUACCCUGCACUGCUCUCUGUGGACUCUAGUCUAUUAGGACCUGGAAAAUCAUAGAAUCAUAGAAUGGAUGGAUUGGAAGGGACUUUCAAGAUCACCCAGUUCUAACCCCCCUGCUAUAGGCAGGGACACCUCACAUUAGACCAGGUUGCUCAAAGCCCCAUCCAACCUGGCCUUGAAUACUUCCCAGGAGGGUCAUCCACAGCCUCACUGGGCAACCUGUUCCAGUGUCUCACCACCCUCACUGUGAAGAAUUUCUUCCUAAUGUCUAGUCUAAAUCUACCCUCUCCCAGUUGAAAACCAUUUCCCCUUGUCUUGUCACUACAUGCCCUUAUAAAGUCCCUCCCCAGAUUUCCUGUACAUCCC
Gallus gallus (chicken) is the source of this 2194-nucleotide long non-coding RNA. Lineage: Eukaryota; Metazoa; Chordata; Aves; Galliformes; Phasianidae. The record is from Ensembl.